Molecule: long non-coding RNA, 620 nt
Organism: Prinia subflava (tawny-flanked prinia)
Lineage: Eukaryota; Metazoa; Chordata; Aves; Passeriformes; Cisticolidae
Exons: 3
Source: RefSeq, a predicted model, not a curated record
CCCUAUUCUUCAACCUCCUUUCCCCCCUCUGCAAGUAUAAUUGAUAAUUAUGUAACAGCCUGACUGUAGGGGAAGUUAUUUGCUAACCUCAGGCUGGUGGCUGAUUUAUGCCCUGAACUGUGAACAUUUAUAUCCAUUAUGAAUUUUUAUCAGGUCCAAUCUGAUUCACCGCACAAAUGUAUGAAUAUGUAUGUAUAACCUUUUACUGAAUCCUGCUAAGCACUUGGCCUCAAUACCAUUUGCCAGCAUGUUUCACAGGCCUAUUAUUUUUGACUUUAAAUAUAAUGCCUUUUACUUUCAUUAUGGCCACCAAUAUUUGCCUGGGGACUGUAUCAGUGGUACUGAUAAUGCCCAAUAUCCUUUUCCCCAGUAACUGCCUGCUCUGAACAGCUCUGAAGCUUCAGCUGGAUCCCGUGUGCCUGUGCUGGACCACAAGUCCUGAGACAUUAUUGGUGGACCCUGAAAUGUAAAGAAGACAAUGAGACCAACUUCAAAAGUCCAUGCAUGAAAAAAUGUCAGCACUCCAGGAGUCUGAGAGAUGCUUGUGCAGCUGGCUCUGGAGUCUCAUUCCAACACCUGGUACAUUCUGAAGAGUCCUGGAAGCAAUGUACAAGGUAAGA